GAUGAAGAACGUAGCGAAAUGCGAUAACUAAUGUGAAUUGCAGAAUUCCGUGAAUCAUCGAGUCUUUGAACGCACAUUGCGCCCCCUGGUAUUCCGGGGGGCAUGCCUGUCCGAGCGUCAUUGCUGCCCUCAAGCACGGCUUGUGUGUUGGGCCCCGUCCUCCGAUCCCGGGGGACGGGCCCGAAAGGCAGCGGCGGCACCGCGUCCGGUCCUCGAGCGUAUGGGGCUUUGUCACCCGCUCUGUAGGCCCGGCCGGCGCUUGCCGAUCAACCCAAAUUUUUAUCCAGGUUGACCUCGGAUCAGGUAGGGAUACCCGCUGAACUUAAGCAUAUCAAUAAGCGGAGGA
This 346-nucleotide unclassified non-coding RNA is filed under the name soil metagenome. Its description in RNAcentral is "partial contains 5.8S ribosomal RNA, internal transcribed spacer 2, and large subunit ribosomal RNA". The stretch from base 1 to 120 matches the Rfam family "5.8S ribosomal RNA", at positions 35 to 154 of the family's 154-position model. The record is from RNAcentral.